RNAcentral lists this ribosomal RNA (253 nucleotides) under uncultured bacterium. RNAcentral describes it as "partial 16S ribosomal RNA". It matches the Rfam family "Bacterial small subunit ribosomal RNA", at positions 524 to 776 of the family's 1533-position model. The record is from RNAcentral. RNAcentral also lists the same sequence under 1 other name.
UACGUAGGGAGCAAGCGUUGUUCGGAUUUACUGGGCGUAAAGGGCGCGUAGGCGGCGCGGUAAGUCACUUGUGAAAUCUCUGAGCUUAACUCAGAACGGCCAAGUGAUACUGCAGUGCUAGAGUGCAGAAGGGGCAAUCGGAAUUCUUGGUGUAGCGGUGAAAUGCGUAGAUAUCAAGAGGAACACCUGAGGUGAAGACGGGUUGCUAGGCUGACACUGACGCUGAGGCGCGAAAGCCAGGGGAGCAAACGGG